GAUGAACGCUAGCGGCAGGCCUAACACAUGCAAGUCGAGGGGCAGCACAGAAACGGCAAUGUUUUGGUGGCGACCGGCGGACGGGCGCGUAACGCGUAUGCAACCUACCUUUAACAGGGGGAUAACGGAGAGAAAUUUCCACUAAUACCCCAUAACAUCGAUCAAGGCAUCUUGAUUGGUUGAAAACUCCGGGGGUUAAAGAUGGGCAUGCGUUGUAUUAGGUAGUUGGUGAGGUAAUGGCUCACCAAGCCUACGAUACAUAGGGGGACUGAGAGGUUAGCCCCCCACACUGGUACUGAGACACGGACCAGACUCCUACGGGAGGCAGCAGUGAGGAAUAUUGGUCAAUGGGGGCAACCCUGAACCAGCCAUGCCGCGUGCAGGAAGACGGCUCUAUGAGUUGUAAACUGCUUUUAAACAGGGAUAAAGCACAGUAUGUAUACUGUGUUGAAGGUACUGUAAGAAUAAGGAUCGGCUAACUCCGUGCCAGCAGCCGCGGUAA
RNAcentral lists this ribosomal RNA (502 nucleotides) under uncultured bacterium. Its description in RNAcentral is "partial 16S ribosomal RNA". It matches the Rfam family "Bacterial small subunit ribosomal RNA", at positions 28 to 523 of the family's 1533-position model. The record is from RNAcentral.